AUUGAACGCUGGCGGCAUGCCUUACACAUGCAAGUCGAACGGUAACAGGUCUUCGGUUGCUGACGAGUGGCGAACGGGUGAGUAAUACACCGGAACGUGCCCAGACGUGGGGGAUAACGAGGCGAAAGCUUUGCUAAUACCGCAUACGAUCUAAGGAUGAAAGCAGGGGACCGCAAGGCCUUGUGCGGUUGGAGCGGCCGAUGGCAGAUUAGGUAGUUGGUGGGAUAAAAGCUUACCAAGCCGACGAUCUGUAGCUGGUCUGAGAGGACGACCAGCCACACUGGGACUGAGACACGGCCCAGACUCCUGCGGGAGGCAGCAGUGGGGAAUUUUGGACAAUGGGCGAAAGCCUGAUCCAGCAAUGCCGCGUGCAGGAUGAAGGCCUUCGGGUUGUAAAGUGCUUUUGUACGGAACGAAAAGGCUCUGGCUAAUACCUGGGGCACAUGACGGUACCGGAAGAAUAAGCACCGGCUAACUACGUG
RNAcentral lists this ribosomal RNA (482 nucleotides) under uncultured bacterium. RNAcentral's name for it is "partial 16S ribosomal RNA". It matches the Rfam family "Bacterial small subunit ribosomal RNA", at positions 30 to 507 of the family's 1533-position model. The record is from RNAcentral.